This 77-nucleotide transfer RNA is filed under the name Burkholderiales bacterium. Its description in RNAcentral is "tRNA-Thr". Lineage: Bacteria; Pseudomonadati; Pseudomonadota; Betaproteobacteria; Burkholderiales. The record is from RNAcentral.
UCGCACGGCUCGCCGAGGCGGCGGAGGACCUGUCGCUCGUGCCGGCGGUGCUCACGUUCGACCCGCAUCCGCGCGAA